This 261-nucleotide unclassified non-coding RNA is filed under the name plant metagenome. RNAcentral describes it as "partial contains small subunit ribosomal RNA, internal transcribed spacer 1, and 5.8S ribosomal RNA". The record is from RNAcentral.
UUUCCGUAGGUGAACCUGCGGAAGGAUCAUUAUCCAUCUCAAACCAGGUGCGGUCGCGGCCCCCGGGGGCUUGCUCCCGGGUGGUAGGGGUAACACCCUCACGCGCCGCCUGCCUGUACCCUCUUUUUACGAGCACCUUUCGUUCUCCUUCGGCGGGGCGACCUGCCGCUGGAACCAAAACAAAACCUUUUUUGCAUCUAGCAUUACCUGUUCUGAUACAAAUAAUCGUUACAACUUUCAACAAUGGAUCUCUUGGCUCUG